AUAAAACAAUCAUAACAAAAGCGUAAAAAAAUAAAAACAUUUUUUUAUGCAAAAUAAACGAAAAAAAUAAUUAGUAAAGAUCAAGAAAGAAUACAUGAGAAAUGAGCAUUUGGAGCAUUUAAAACCUCACUCAAAGCUAGCAAUCGUUAAAUGUCAAUAGUUCCUUUCUGUAAAUUUUUUCCAUAUGAAGCCAUUGAACAAGAGAUCAACAAAGAAUAAAUGUAAAGGAGGUGAACAAACAAAUUCUACUCAUCUAAACCAGAUUAUGUACAGCUAAAUAUCUACAGAAUAAUAGCUGCUGCCCAUUUUUCAUAUCAAAUAUGUUGUAUCUUCUGCAUGCAAAGGUAAGAGAGUGAGAUUGUAAUAGUCCUUAUCUAUGGAUAAAUGGUUAUCAGUUGCAGAACCCAUCACUCCCCAAUCAUCCACCGAAAUUAAGUAUUGAUCGUCAAUUUGAGAAUCAUCCUCACCACUUUCCUCCGCUGAUUUAACUUCAGUAUUCAAAUCUGGCAUGCCAGCCAAAAGGGCCUCAAGGGGAGACUUGAGGUUCACGUUUUCCUGAGAAGUGAACUUCACUUCUAGAAUUGGAGUUUCAAAAUCCACUUUAGAAGCAGUCCGUGAAAAUUCAACAACAUCCUGCAGAAUGCCUAGGCUAGACCCUUCAUCUAUAACUUCUAUACAAGUGGUCAAUUCAUUUGAAACAGCAACUUCAUUGGUAUUAUCAGAGCCAUUGUCAGUUUGAUUUCCAGAAAAUUGUUCCAAACUAUCAGUUUUCUCCAGAGUUGAAAUGUCACUUGUUCCAUUGCCAACUUUCCCAUAUUGCAUAUCAUCAAUUCUCUGAUAAGGACCAGUCCUUGCCAUGUCAUUGGCAGCUGGUACCAUGCAGUCAAUACAAAUGCCCUGGGUAUCACCUCCCUCCCCCUCACUAUCCUGUGAGUGUUCAUCAACUACUGUGUCUGUUUUCAAACAGUACAUAUUGUUAGGAUACGCUAUCGCAUUCUCAGAGCUUUCUACAGAAGAAAUAUUGGAUAGAGAUGAAGAUGAACUCCUUGGGAGGUCUGUCCCAUUAUGUUCACUGAAAUCAGUGGGAGGUUCUGUUAUUAUUUCACAAUAACCUUUUGGUGAAGCUGUUUUGCUGUGGCUAUUUUCAUCUUCAUUUGGAAACUCAGCAGCUUUAACUGCUAUAGUUUUUGAAUAACUUGGGGACUGGAUUGAAGUCGAAGAUACGAGCCCAGCAAGUGCAGAUGCUAAAGCAUCAUCAAUUGACAUAACAUGCUUUUGUUUCUCCUUUGGAGACUCCAUCACUGGUUGCACUGCAUCACCUUCUUCCUCAUCAUCACAAUUUGAAAAAUCUGGAGCAGUAACUAUAAGACUAGGAUGUGAUUUCGAAGUAUUCACUGAAACAGAUGUGGCAUCAGAGAGAACAGAUGACACAGCUGGAAGUGAAUCCUUCUUAUUGGCAUCACAAGCUGCAUAACUAAGAUCCACACAACCACUAUUAUAGAGGGAAUUGGUCUCUGAUUCACUGCAUGAAAAUUCAGGGGCAGAUGUUCUUGCGCAAGAAAGCGAUCCAGAACUCUGGGUUUUCUUCGUGAGUCCUUCAAGUUGCUGCUCUACUCUUUGGAGCCUCUCAUCAAUGCUUCUUAUGGGCUUCAGCAUACAAUCCUCAAACCUCAAAAGUAGAUCUUCUAUGCUGUUAACUCGAGAAAGAAGCUGGUUCAAAACACCUUCAAUAUGAUUAUUUGAUAGUUCGUGCUCGCUCUCUGUAUCUGAAAAUUGUUCAGGAAUCUCCAGCUGGACUGGUUUGGCAAUAGGCAAAACUGCUUCUUGCACUUGCACACCCUGGUGAUAAAUUGAAUCAGAUUUCCCUUCCUGCUGAAUUUCAUUUCCAGUAUCAAUUGGAAUGGUUUGUUUUGCCUCAAUUUUGUCUGACUUCUGCCCAUUCAUUCUAUCAGAACCAUAUUUAUCUUCUGCUCGGCCAACACCUUUUGUUUUAGAUAACUGCAAGAGGGUAGGCAUAAGCAUGGCCAUAAGUGAAGUUCCAGCAGAGUUUUCUACUGGACCCGCUUUAUUAUCCAAAUUAGCUGCAUCAACAGGAUCAGCAAACACAUAGACUUCAUCAAUACAAACACAAGCUUUAUUCUGAAGUGAUAGUAGCCUCAGCGUAAUGGAUGUGCAAGGGCUUGUAUCAGUAAUAUCUGCUGUCGCCUCAUACAAAUCCUGCAGCUGAGAGCUUCUCCCUUGGUUUGUAUCAUAAUUUAACAAUAGAGAACUGUUCCUGUUGACUAGCUGAGUAUCAAGAACUUUCACUUCAACCCAGUCAUCUUCAUUGGU
This 2331-nucleotide unclassified non-coding RNA is filed under the name Hevea brasiliensis (rubber tree). Lineage: Eukaryota; Viridiplantae; Streptophyta; Magnoliopsida; Malpighiales; Euphorbiaceae. The record is from RNAcentral.